This 449-nucleotide ribosomal RNA is filed under the name uncultured bacterium. RNAcentral describes it as "partial 16S ribosomal RNA". It matches the Rfam family "Bacterial small subunit ribosomal RNA", at positions 29 to 523 of the family's 1533-position model. The record is from RNAcentral.
AGCGAACGCUGGCGGCAGGCCUAACACAUGCAAGUCGAACGAAGUCUUCGGACUUAGUGGCGGACGGGUGAGUAACACGUGGGAACGUGCCUUUAGGUUCGGAAUAACUCAGGGAAACUUGUGCUAAUACCGAAUGUGCCCUUCGGGGGAAAGAUUUAUCGCCUUUAGAGCGGCCCGCGUCUGAUUAGCUAGUUGGUGAGGUAAAGGCUCACCAAGGCGACGAUCAGUAGCUGGUCUGAGAGGAUGAUCAGCCACAUUGGGACUGAGACACGGCCCAACCUCCUACGGGAGGCAGCAGUGGGGAAUCUUGCGCAAUGGGCGAAAGCCUGACGCAGCCAUGCCGCGUGAAUGAUGAAGGUCUUAGGAUUGUAAAAUUCUUUCACCGGGGACGAUAAUGACGGUACCCGGAGAAGAAGCCCCGGCUAACUUCGAGCCAGCCGCCGCGGUAA